Molecule: unclassified non-coding RNA, 161 nt
Filed under: soil metagenome
Description: partial internal transcribed spacer 1
Source: RNAcentral
AAGAGACGUUGCCCUUCGGGGUAUACCUCCCACCCUUUGUUUAUUAUACCUUUGUUGCUUUGGCGGGCCCGUCUUCGGACCACCGGCUUCUGCUGGUCAGUGCCCGCCAGAGGACCUAAAACUCUGUUUGUUAAUAUUGUCUGAGUACUAUAUAAUAGUUA